Molecule: ribosomal RNA, 320 nt
Filed under: uncultured bacterium
Lineage: Bacteria
Description: bacterial SSU rRNA
Rfam family: Bacterial small subunit ribosomal RNA
Source: RNAcentral
CGCAAGGGGAGUGGCAGACGGGUGAGUAACGCGUGGGAAUCUACCCAAUUCUUCGGAGCAACUGAGGGAAACUUCAGCUAAUACCGGAUGUGCCCUUCGGGGGAAAGAUUUAUCGGAAUUGGAUGAGCCCGCGUUGGAUUAGCUAGUUGGUGGGGUAAAGGCCUACCAAGGCGACGAUCCAUAGCUGGUCUGAGAGGAUGAUCAGCCACACUGGGACUGAGACACGGCCCAGACUCCUACGGGAGGCAGCAGUGGGGAAUAUUGGACAAUGGGCGCAAGCCUGAUCCAGCCAUGCCGCGUGAGUGAUGAAGGUCUUAGGA